UACGGAAGGCAGCAGGGGGAAGUAUUGCACAAUGGGCGCAAGCCUGAUGCAGCCAUGCCGCGUGUAUGAAGAAGGCCUUUCGGGUUGUAAAGUACUUUCAGUCGUGAGGAAGGUGUUAAGGUUAAUAACCUUAGCAAUUGACGUUAGCGACAGAAGAAGCACCGGCUAACUCCGUGCCAGCAGCCGCGGUAAUACGGAGGGUGCGAGCGUUAAUCGGAAUUACUGGGCGUAAAGGGCACGCAGGCGGUUAAUUAAGUUGGAUGUGAAAUCCCCGGGCUUAACCUGGGAAUGGCAUUUUAAGACUGGUUAGCUAGAGUCUUGUAGAGGGGGUAGAAUUCCAUGUGUAGCGGUGAAAUGCGUAGAGAUGUGGAGGAAUACCGGUGGCGAAGGCGGCCCCUGGCAAAGACUGACGGCUCAUGUGCGAAAGCGUGGGGAGCAAACAGGGAUUAGAUACC
RNAcentral lists this ribosomal RNA (455 nucleotides) under uncultured bacterium. Its description in RNAcentral is "bacterial SSU rRNA". It matches the Rfam family "Bacterial small subunit ribosomal RNA", at positions 340 to 786 of the family's 1533-position model. The record is from RNAcentral.